AGGGUAUGGCUGUUCGCCAUUUAAAGUGGUACGCGAGCUGGGUUUAGAACGUCGUGAGACAGUUCGGUCCCUAUCUGCCGUGGGCGUUUGAGAAUUGAGAGGAGCUGCUCCUAGUACGAGAGGACCGGAGUGGACGAACCACUGGUGUUCGGGUUGUCAUGCCAAUGGCAUUGCCCGGUAGCUAAGUUCGGAACUGAUAACCGCUGAAAGCAUCUAAGCGGGAAGCAGGCCUCGAGAUGAGUUCUCACUGGAGCUUUAAGCUCCCUGAAGGGCCGUUGGAGACUACAACGUUGAUAGGCAAGGUGUGUAAGUGCUGUGAGGCAUUGAGCUAACUUGUACUAAUUACCCGUGAGGCUUAACCAUACAA
RNAcentral lists this ribosomal RNA (367 nucleotides) under Moritella sp. RNAcentral describes it as "bacterial LSU rRNA". It matches the Rfam family "Bacterial large subunit ribosomal RNA", at positions 2568 to 2925 of the family's 2925-position model. Lineage: Bacteria; Pseudomonadati; Pseudomonadota; Gammaproteobacteria; Alteromonadales; Moritellaceae. The record is from RNAcentral.